RNAcentral lists this unclassified non-coding RNA (412 nucleotides) under Hevea brasiliensis (rubber tree). The record is from RNAcentral. Lineage: Eukaryota; Viridiplantae; Streptophyta; Magnoliopsida; Malpighiales; Euphorbiaceae.
CAAGAAGAAAAGGCUGCAAUGCAGAUGGAGGCUUUGCAGUAUCAGAGAAUGAUGGAAGAGCAAUCGGAAUAUGACCAGGAAGCUUUGCAGCUUUUGAAUGAACUUAUGGUAAAGAGGGAGAAAGAGAGAGCAGAGCUAGAAAAAGAGCUCGAAGUAUAUCGAAAGAAGGUGCAAGAUUACGAGGCAAAAGAGAAAUUGACGAUGUUGAAAAGAAGGAAAGAAAGGGGCACAAGUGGAACUUCCUCAGCAUCUUGUAGCGCAAUGCUGAGGAUAGUGAUGGACUAUCUGUUGACUUGAAUCAUGAAGAGAAAGAAGAAGAUGGUUUCGAUAACCAUAAAGAAACUGGCGACCAGAACACCCCCGUCGAUGCAGUUCUAUACUUGGAAGAGUCAUUGGCUAAUUUUGAGGUGGA